This 1552-nucleotide long non-coding RNA is filed under the name Nicotiana benthamiana. RNAcentral describes it as "long non-coding RNA (NBEN_LNC008633)". Lineage: Eukaryota; Viridiplantae; Streptophyta; Magnoliopsida; Solanales; Solanaceae. The record is from RNAcentral.
AUGAAUUUUUUACAAAGAAAACUACAUAGUGGUCCAUCAAACAAACACUGAACCAACUUUCCAGAAUUUUAAAUUGGAUUCAAUCACAAUGGAACCUUGUUCAACUAAUGUAAACCAAUUCGACUCCACACGGUCUCACCAAGCUAACAGACUUCAAAACUAACAGAUAAGACUAGGAGAUGUAUUUAACAUCGACUCCACACGGUCUCACCAAGCUAAUAGACUUCAAAACUAACAGAUAAGACUAGGAGAUGUAUUUAACAGAUGAACAACAGCAUAUCUAGAGUUCAUGACCACUACACAUACAUAAUUAAACCAAACAUUUUGCUAAAAGUCAUCGUAUUAAUGUGCAGCAAAGUGCUGCAAGUAUUUGCAGGAGAUAAACAUAUUACCGAAUAUAACAAGCUUAAAAGAUCAAUCAUGGCUUCUAUGGAUAAACAAACACGCAAUUGCUCGACCACCAUCAUAAGUAAAGCUUUACACAUGACCCUCUGGUUUAAACUACGUCACAAGAGUCACAACACACAAUUUUCACCCUUCAAUUUGAACUAAUUAAGCUUGAGCCUCUGGUUUAAACUACGUCACAAGGGUCACAACACACAAUUUUCACCAUUCAAUUUGAACUAAUUAAGCUUGAGAUAAAGUGAAAUCCCACGGAAGGAAGCGCAACAAAAGUUAGAGCAGAAUCAUUGCUAUUAUAUCAAGAGAUACUGUGAUUUAAACAAAACACAUCAAUACACAAUACAUAGAGUAAUCAACAUUAUCACGUUUAAUUUAACUUCAAUCACGAUCCAACACAAAAUCAUAUAUAAUAUACAUAUUUAGAGCUUAAGAGGAUUUAGACAGAAUUCUUGCAAAAAUAAAUUAAUUAGUCAAUCAAAGAAUUUAGACAAAAUAGCCAUCAUUUCUUGCAAAUCAAAGGACAAUAUAGAUUUAUGAUAUGCACCUUGAGAUCAAAUAGCACUUGGAUCCAAAUAAUAUGGAACAGAUACCUCGAUGCAUAAUCUCGAACAGAAACCUCGACGAGACUGUCAACGACAUCCUCGCUCACCUCAUCUAGGGACCCGACUGAAAAUCAGAAGCAAACAAGAAAUCGACAUGAAAAUCGAAGAGAUUCGAACUCGAAAUGAGAAUGAAACAAGUCCGUUCGAUCCCUCUAUUCUCACUAUUUUUCAGCUCUCCUAUUUUCCUGUUCCUGUUGCCCCUUUUUCUGUUUCAAUUUCAAUUCCCUUCUCCUGCUAUUUUUGUUUCGUUUUAGUUCAGAAGAGAGGUUAAAGCUCGUCAUGGGUGUCUGUUUGUUGCUGUGUGAUUGAUUUUCCGGCGAGGGGUCGUGUGGUUGAAAAGGUAGGAUGAUGGGAGGGGUAUCCGUAGUGUAUCCGUAUAUGUGUGUUUGUAUCUGCGUGGAUUUGUUAAGAAGAAAUCACAGCCGCGCAGCCCUCUCUUCCAGGCGUCUCCAGGCGUGUAUGUGUUCGUAUUCUUCAUAAUAAAAGCAGGCUACCUUCGUCUAUCUAUAUCGUGUGUAAAGGUUUUUAGGUUAGGAAAUUCAUUUAGG